CUCAGCCAGGGCCUACCUGGUUAAGAAAUAUACCACAAAACCAGAUUAGGAGAGUGAGACAGAAUUGUUCUAAUAAUGAGGUUUGCCAACAACAAAUGGAAGAAAUGAGACAGACUCCAAAACAAGGGAUAUCUUCAAACAUUACUACAAGAAGCGAUGGACGCAAUACUUACCAGUCCGAGAGAAAGUCAAUACCACAGAAUCACAUACCUCAGUUCCAACUUUUAUUACCAAAUAUAA
Molecule: non-coding RNA, 240 nt
Organism: Pelobates cultripes (western spadefoot toad)
Lineage: Eukaryota; Metazoa; Chordata; Amphibia; Anura; Pelobatidae
Source: the annotation of a GenBank genome assembly